GCAUCACUAGCUCAGCUGGUAGAGCGUAACCUUGCCAAGGUUGAGGUCACGCCUAGUUCAUAAAAGCAGGGAACCUCGUGUGUCUCUCCA
Molecule: transfer RNA, 90 nt
Filed under: Vibrio algivorus
Lineage: Bacteria; Pseudomonadati; Pseudomonadota; Gammaproteobacteria; Vibrionales; Vibrionaceae
Description: tRNA-Gly
Source: RNAcentral